UGCGUAGGUGGCAUUAUAAGUCAGAGGUGAAAGCCUACCGCUUAAUGGUAGAACUGCCUUUGAUACUGUAGUGCUUGAAUUAGGCUGAGGUUAGCGGAAUGUGACAUGUAGCGGUGAAAUGCAUAGAUAUGUCAUAGAACACCAAUUGCGAAGGCAGCUAACUAGACCUAUAUUGACACUGAGGCACGAAAGCGUGGGGAGCGAACAGGAUUAGAUACCCUGGUAGUCC
RNAcentral lists this ribosomal RNA (229 nucleotides) under uncultured bacterium. RNAcentral describes it as "partial 16S ribosomal RNA". It matches the Rfam family "Bacterial small subunit ribosomal RNA", at positions 568 to 796 of the family's 1533-position model. The record is from RNAcentral.